This 82-nucleotide transfer RNA is filed under the name Mesostigma viride. RNAcentral describes it as "tRNA-Leu". It matches the Rfam family "tRNA". Rfam says of the family: Transfer RNA (tRNA) molecules are approximately 80 nucleotides in length. Their secondary structure includes four short double-helical elements and three loops (D, anti-codon, and T loops). Further hydrogen bonds mediate the characteristic L-shaped molecular structure. tRNAs have two regions of fundamental functional importance: the anti-codon, which is responsible for specific mRNA codon recognition, and the 3' end, to which the tRNAs corresponding amino acid is attached (by aminoacyl-tRNA synthetases). tRNAs cope with the degeneracy of the genetic code in two manners: having more than one tRNA (with a specific anti-codon) for a particular amino acid; and 'wobble' base-pairing, i.e. permitting non-standard base-pairing at the 3rd anti-codon position. Lineage: Eukaryota; Viridiplantae; Streptophyta; Mesostigmatophyceae; Mesostigmatales; Mesostigmataceae. The record is from RNAcentral.
GCGGAUAUGAUGGAAUUGGCAGACAUGCUAGACUUAGGAUCUAGUGAUUAUUAUCUUGGGGGUUCAAGUCCCUCUAUCCGUA